RNAcentral lists this ribosomal RNA (207 nucleotides) under uncultured bacterium. RNAcentral's name for it is "partial 16S ribosomal RNA". It matches the Rfam family "Bacterial small subunit ribosomal RNA", at positions 568 to 774 of the family's 1533-position model. The record is from RNAcentral.
CGCGUAGGCGGUUUGUUAAGUCAGAUGUGAAAGCCCCGGGCUCAACCUGGGAAUUGCAUUUGAUACUGGCAGGCUAGAGUAUGGUAGAGGGAAGUGGAAUUCCGGGUGUAGCGGUGAAAUGCGUAGAUAUCCGGAGGAACACCAGUGGCGAAGGCGGCUUCCUGGACCAAUACUGACGCUGAGGUGCGAAAGCGUGGGGAGCAAACA